This 358-nucleotide ribosomal RNA is filed under the name uncultured prokaryote. Its description in RNAcentral is "partial 16S ribosomal RNA". The record is from RNAcentral.
UUGUGGCAUUUCUACUCUUUCUCAAUCCCCAAUGCUUGGCUUCCAUAAGCAGAUGGAUAACCGCAUCAAGCUCUUGGAAGAGAUUCUGUCUUUUCGUAUGCAGGGCGUUGAGUUCGAUAAUGGUGAUAUGUAUGUUGACGGCCAUAAGGCUGCUUCUGACGUUCGUGAUGAGUUUGUAUCUGUUACUGAGAAGUUAAUGGAUGAAUUGGCACAAUGCUACAAUGUGCUCCCCCAACUUGAUAUUAAUAACACUAUAGACCACCGCCCCGAAGGGGACGAAAAAUGGUUUUUAGAGAACGAGAAGACGGUUACGCAGUUUUGCCGCAAGCUGGCUGCUGAACGCCCUCUUAAGGAUAUU